UACGUAGGGUGCGAGCGUUAAUCGGAAUUACUGGGCGUAAAGCGUGCGCAGGCGGUUCGCUGUGUCCGAUGUGAAAGCCCGGGGCUCAACCCCGGGUCGGCCGUGGCAACUGCUGGGCUGGAGCACUGUAGAGGCAGGUGGAAUUCCGGGUGUAGCGGUGGAAUGCGUAGAGAUCCGGAAGAACACCGGUGGCGAAGGCGGCCUGCUGGGCAGUAGCUGACGCUGAUGCGCGACAGCGUGGGGAGCAAACAGG
RNAcentral lists this ribosomal RNA (253 nucleotides) under uncultured bacterium. RNAcentral describes it as "partial 16S ribosomal RNA". It matches the Rfam family "Bacterial small subunit ribosomal RNA", at positions 524 to 776 of the family's 1533-position model. The record is from RNAcentral.